Molecule: ribosomal RNA, 460 nt
Filed under: uncultured bacterium
Lineage: Bacteria
Description: partial 16S ribosomal RNA
Rfam family: Bacterial small subunit ribosomal RNA
Source: RNAcentral
CCUACGGGAGGCAGCAGUGAGGAAUAUUGGUCAAUGGACGAGAGUCUGAACCAGCCAAGUAGCGUGAAGGAUGACUGCCCUAUGGGUUGUAAACUUCUUUUAUAUGGGAAUAAAAUGUUCCACGUGUGGGAUUUUGUAUGUACCAACUGCAUAACGAUCGGGUAACUCCGGUACAGCAGCCGCGGUAAUACGGAGGAUCCGAGCGUUAUCCGGAUUUAUUGGGUUUAAAGGGAGCGUAGGUGGAUUGUUAAGUCAGUUGUGAAAGUUUGCGGCUCAACCGUAAAAUUGCAGUUGAAACUGGCAGUCUUGAGUACAGUAGAGGUGGGCGGAAUUCGUGGUGUAGCGGUGAAAUGCUUAGAUAUCACGAAGAACUCCGAUUGCGAAGGCAGUUCACUGGACUGUAACUGACACUGAGGCUCGAAAGUGUGGGUAUCAAACAGGAUUAGAUACCCUUGUAGUC